RNAcentral lists this ribosomal RNA (759 nucleotides) under Pseudomonas sp. EP_R_2. Its description in RNAcentral is "bacterial SSU rRNA". It matches the Rfam family "Bacterial small subunit ribosomal RNA", at positions 36 to 789 of the family's 1533-position model. The record is from RNAcentral. Lineage: Bacteria; Pseudomonadati; Pseudomonadota; Gammaproteobacteria; Pseudomonadales; Pseudomonadaceae.
CUGGCGGCAGGCCUAACACAUGCAAGUCGAGCGGUAGAGAGGUGCUUGCACCUCUUGAGAGCGGCGGACGGGUGAGUAAUGCCUAGGAAUCUGCCUGGUAGUGGGGGAUAACGCUCGGAAACGGACGCUAAUACCGCAUACGUCCUACGGGAGAAAGCAGGGGACCUUCGGGCCUUGCGCUAUCAGAUGAGCCUAGGUCGGAUUAGCUAGUUGGUGGGGUAAUGGCUCACCAAGGCGACGAUCCGUAACUGGUCUGAGAGGAUGAUCAGUCACACUGGAACUGAGACACGGUCCAGACUCCUACGGGAGGCAGCAGUGGGGAAUAUUGGACAAUGGGCGAAAGCCUGAUCCAGCCAUGCCGCGUGUGUGAAGAAGGUCUUCGGAUUGUAAAGCACUUUAAGUUGGGAGGAAGGGCAGUUACUUAAUACGUGACUGUCUUGACGUUACCGACAGAAUAAGCACCGGCUAACUCUGUGCCAGCAGCCGCGGUAAUACAGAGGGUGCAAGCGUUAAUCGGAAUUACUGGGCGUAAAGCGCGCGUAGGUGGUUCGUUAAGUUGGAUGUGAAAUCCCCGGGCUCAACCUGGGAACUGCAUUCAAAACUGUCGAGCUAGAGUAUGGUAGAGGGUGGUGGAAUUUCCUGUGUAGCGGUGAAAUGCGUAGAUAUAGGAAGGAACACCAGUGGCGAAGGCGACCACCUGGACUGAUACUGACACUGAGGUGCGAAAGCGUGGGGAGCAAACAGGAUUAGAUACCCCUG